RNAcentral lists this ribosomal RNA (252 nucleotides) under uncultured bacterium. RNAcentral describes it as "partial 16S ribosomal RNA". It matches the Rfam family "Bacterial small subunit ribosomal RNA", at positions 524 to 776 of the family's 1533-position model. The record is from RNAcentral.
UACGGAGGAUGCGAGCGUUAUCCGGAUUUAUUGGGUUUAAAGGGUGCGUAGGCGGGCUUUUAAGUCAGCGGUAAAAAUUCGGGGCUCAACCCCGUCCGGCCGUUGAAACUGGGGGUCUUGAGUGGGCGAGAAGAAGGCGGAAUGCGUGGUGUAGCGGUGAAAUGCAUAGAUAUCACGCAGAACCCUGAUUGCGAAGGCAGCCUUCCGGCGCCCUACUGACGCUGAGGCACGAAAGUGCGGGGAUCGAACAGG